RNAcentral lists this non-coding RNA (26 nucleotides) under Rattus norvegicus (Norway rat). The record is from RNAcentral. Lineage: Eukaryota; Metazoa; Chordata; Mammalia; Rodentia; Muridae.
GUGAGUUCAAAGUUUGCCUGGUCUAU